AAUUUUUUAAAAAAUAACUACAUAUACAUUAAAGAUGAGAAUAUCUUCACCUCUAUUACUCUCCUUGAAUCAAACCAUAGUUUUCCUCUCAUCCUGUUUAUAUCUCACAAUGCUGUCUUGACUAUCUAAAGGCAGUCAGUCAGCCCUAAAACUCUUCCUUGGGAAGCAGAUUCAGGUAGGAAAUGAUUUCCUCAUGCUAUUGAGAUCUACCUCUUGCCAAGAACUUUUGCUGCACAUCAAGGAAAGAACUUCUCUUGUGAUUGUUUCAUGCUUCAGUUCUACUGAAUUUUCUGUGCUCUUUGAACCCUAAUUUGGAACCGAAAUUCCACUUUCUUGUAUUAGGAGUGGUAAAGGAGAAUGUCCGGAAAUGCAUCUGUGUUUAAAUGUGAGUCCUCCGAGUUGCUAGAUGCUUUGGUCUUGGGCUUAUGAAGAAAAUGAAAAUCAGCUUGAAUGACCUGGCUGCCACAGCACAAAUCAGAGUCACUUUCAUUCCUCGUCUUCCAGCCUUGACUUGCUCUAAUGUAAUCUUGUCUGCUGAAGCAAGAGGUGUGACCACUGUGUUAUUAUCUGCAGUUCAGCUCUAAACUCCUUUGGCCUAACGGCCCUGGGGCUUUCCCUAUCCAGCGUACCUGUCUUUCUGAUUAUGCCACCCUACGAAAGUGAGCACUGGCCUCUCCAACUGCCCCCUCUGCUCCUUCAGCCUAUAACCCGAGUGUUCUAGCAACCUCUACUAAUGCUACUGUUCUGCCACAUUUUUGUGCCAUGCAAGGGUAAAUAAAAGUUACAUGCCUAUCAGAAAAUCAAGAGUUUCAAAGUAAAUAUAAGUUCUCUCAUCAUCUCUAAUUGUCACUUGCUGUGGAUGUCAAACUGACAGAGUAGCAGAAUCUAAUUUCCUUGUUUGAUUCACCAUGAAAUUAAACUGAACUGACAAUUUUUAUUUUCACCUGGCAAAUUCAUUCGACACUAUUUAAAUCUAGCUAAUCAAGUACAGUUAUCUGCUCUGCACACUCAUCUCCCCUACCACACCUCUGAUUUGCAGUAUCCCACUUCCUGGACUCCCUCCGACAGCCGUGCUUUGGAUUACAUUUACAGUUUUUGAAGGUGUAAAGGAACGCAAGAACAUAGUUAGCCAAGGUGCCAGCAAACGUAUCAUGUCACAAAAUUACUACUGAAAGAUGAAAAAAAAAAUUAAAAAGUAAAAAACAAAAUACUGUUCAAAAACCCAAACAGUCGGAUGGUUUGGCGAAGCCUGUGCUCAGUAGAGUAGAAAUGUAGUUCUGAAGUUAACUGACUCUUAGGGAAAAAAAGAGUUUAACCUCUGGAAGAAAUAAACAUCAUUCAGAAAGAGUACUGUAGUAGGAGGUGCCAGAUACGUAUUUUUCUGAUGAUGAAAUGAGGCCAUUUGUCAGUGUGGGAGUGGCCACUGAUAGAUGAAUUAUAAUUGGAGUUUUCAAAAAUAAGGAAGGCUCUGCAUUCUGGAGCCAUUAUACAAUGUCCCAAAGCAAAGACAUAUCUAGAUAUUGUAGGGCACCCGAAGGCUAUAAGUCUUGCAAGGUAACUAUUGGCCAUUACCAGCAGCUCUGAAGGGAUAACUUCAAGGAUCCUCAAUAAAUGAAUGAACUUGGACUCACUGAGUCACAAGACAUUAAGUGGGUUUCUUGAUAUCUGAGUCCAAGAGGAGGUGCAUAUUAUCUAGACCCAAAGCUGUAAGUGAUACCAUACUGUCACCCCAAACAUCUCCUCAGUUCUAGGCCCACUUCUGGAUUUUUACAAUGGUUCAUCACUGACAUGUGUCUAACCUUUCUUUGCUCUGAAACUGAAGCAAAUUUUCAUGAGCUGAGUACCAAUCCCAUGACAUCAUCAAAGAUGAGCAGAGACUCUGGAUUGAUACAUUUGAGACACAAACUAAAAUAUUUCUGUAUGUUUACUGAAUAUAAAUACAAAAGAAUCUGAGUAAAUAUGUAACUCAACACUUAGAGAAAUGCAUACUCUGCAUAAAUAUCAGCCUACAACUUCAGAAGGGCAUUCAUGGACAUCUUGAAGCCCUUCCAUUAACUAAACAUAAACACAGCUACCAUUUUCUACAUGCUGGACACUGCCAACAUCAUAGAGAUAUCAUCUCACACCAUCUGGCCUGGCAUCUUCACCCCCACUGGGAAAAUCAUUAAAUUAAAAGAUCUAUGCCACUCACUCAAGGAAGUCACAUGAACUUGCCCUUGUGACAAGCUACUCAAGUACAAACAUAUACCUGCAAGGUAGAAGUGGCUGCCAUUGUAACUUUAAUUUAGGGCCUCUAUCUUAAGGCACAUAUUAUUUUCAUUGUUCCCAACAUCUUAACAUAUAUGACAUUUCCCUUUAUAGGCAAUCCAUCAGGCAUGAAUCUCAAUAAUAGCAGCUCUGGAGAAAGACUGGUGGAAUCUCUAUUUCCCCCAGGUUUCCCCAAGUGACUUUUGCAUCAACCAUGUCAAUUGAAUUUCUUUUGCACCACACCCAAUAUAUUACUCAAGAAUUUUUUUUUUCAAAAGGAGGUGUAGAAACUUAAGUUUAUUUAUAUGGUUUAGAUCUUAAAAGCCCUGAAAAAAGGCAUUAUUAUCCCCAUUUGAUAGAGUGGGAAGCAAAGGCUCAGAAAGGCUGUAUAACUUCCUCUUCAACAGAGGAUAAGUAUAACUCAUAUAUAACUUCAUGAGUGGUAAAGCAAGAUUUAGAAUGCAUUUGGCCUAACCUUAAAUCUCAAGUUCCGAGUUUCUGUGCUCUAUUGCUCUAGACUUCAGAGUAAGAAAACUAGCUUAACAAAAUUACAAAAUUGAUGAGAGAUUAUCCAACAUUAGCUGGAAUAGAACAAGUAGUUAAGAAGUUGACCUUAAGUAUCUCAUAAAGUAUCCAGGUUAUUUCAGGCUGAGAAGUAACUUUAGACAUUUCAUUUCACAAAACCCAUCCUAUUCACUGCCAAGAGUACCUUCACAAAUCUCCACCCAGACAGUGAGUUCCAUUUACUGGAGGACUUUGUGAUUACCUAUGGCCAAACCCAAGAGAAAGGAUGGAUCCAAGGAGACUCUGAAUCCUGAAGUCUUUUUUAUUUUUAAUUUUUAAAAAAUUUUAAUUAUUUUUAUUUUUUCCAUUACAGUUUCCAGUGUUCUGUCAAUUUCUACUGUACAGCAAAGUGAUCCAGUCAUAUAUAUAUAUAUAUAUGUGUGUGUGUGUGUGUGUGUGCAUAUACACAUACAUAUAUACAUAUAUAUUCUUUUUCUCACAUUAUCCUCCAUCAUGUUCCAUCACAAGUGAUUGGAUAUAGUUCCCUGUGCCAUACAGCAGGAUCUCAUUGCAUAACCACUCCAAAUGCAAUAGUUUGCAUCUAUUAACCCCAGGCUCCCAGUCCAUCCCACUCCCUCCCCAUCCCCUUUGGCAACCACAAGUCAGUUUUCCAAGUCCCUGAGUUUCUUUUCUGUGGAAAAGUUCAUUUGUGCCCUAUAUUGGAUUCUAAAUAUAAGUGAUAUCAUAUGGUAUUUGUCUUUCUCUUACUGAUCUACUUCACUUAGUACCUGAGUCUCUAGUUCCACCCAUGUUGCUGCAAAUGGCAUUAUUUCAUUCUUUUGGGGGGCUGAGUAGUAUUCCAGUGUGUAUAUAUACCACAUCUUCUUAGUCCAGUCAUCUGUUGAUGGACAUUUAUGUUGUUUCCAUGUCUUGGCUAUUGUGAAUAGUGCUGCAAUGACAUAUGGACGCAUGUAUCUUUUUCAAGGAAAGUUUUGUCCAGAUAUAUGCCCAAGAGCGGAAUUGGCUCCAUGGAAACUUAAUGAUCUAACCCUAAGAAGCACAUUUAGGACAAAAUCAAGAAUUUACACAGAAGCAAAAUGGCUAAGUACAGAUGAUGUUAGAGGAGCAAGUGCUAACAAGCAGAAGAGAAGCAUAGGAGCCAAUAACACUGAUUGGUAACACAGAAUGGAGGGCUUGGGGAAAGCUGAGACCCACAGGAGUAGCAGAAGAGGGGCUGUCAGAAUAUUUCUGAGGAAUGGAAUUUCUGUAGUGGCUCAGCAGAAAUGAAUCUGACUAGUAUCCCUGAGGAUGCAGGUUCAGUCCCUGGCCUCACUCUGUGGGUUAAGGAUCCAGCAUUGCCAUGAGCUGUGGUGUAGGUUGCAGACACUGCUCUGAUUUGGCAUUCAAACAGUGGCAUAAAUCAGCUGCUAUAGCUCUGAUUCGACCCCUAGCCUGAGAACUUCCAUAUGUUGUGGGUGUGGCCCUAAAAAGACAAAAAAAAAUGUUUCUGAGGAACUGAAGCCAGACGAAGUGAUUUGCAAAAAAAUUAAAAGAGGACAAAAAAGGAAAGAAAAAGUGCAGGGCCUCAAUGUUCUGUUCUUACUCCACUAUAGGUUAUGGCUGGGGAAGAAGGAGAAGCAUGAGCAGGGCUUUGACAGACUAUUUCCCUAUGAAGAUCAUUCCCAGAGAGAAAAAAGUAGCCAUUUGACUACAGAUGCAGGUGCAGUUAAGGAAGUGAGCCCAACGAUGCUCAUUCUCAAAUAUAUGCAUGUU
This 4524-nucleotide long non-coding RNA is filed under the name Sus scrofa (pig). RNAcentral's name for it is "lncRNA (ENSSSCG00065044380.1)". The record is from RNAcentral. Lineage: Eukaryota; Metazoa; Chordata; Mammalia; Artiodactyla; Suidae.